UGUAAGCGUAUACCAAAGUUGUUGCAGUUAAAACGCUCGUAGUCGGAAUUUGGCAGUUCCGGAAGUGUGCACGUCGUGUGCGCACUUUGCGGGGACUGCUUUUGUGGUCUUGCGUAGGAUGAGGCACUUUCAUUAGUGAACGUCCUCACGCAACCACUCUUUACUGUGAGAAAAUCAGAGUGCUCAAAGCAGGCAUUUGCCGUGAAUGUAUUAGCAUGGAAUAAUAGAAUAGGACUCGGUUCUAAUUUGUUGGUUUGUUGGGACUGAGUAAUGAUUAAGAGGGACAGUUGGGGGCAUUUGUAUUCCGGCGCUAGAGGUGAAAUUCUUAGAUUGCCGGAAGACAAACUGCUGCGAAAGCGUCUGCCAAGGAUGUUUUCAUUGA
This 382-nucleotide ribosomal RNA is filed under the name uncultured eukaryote. RNAcentral's name for it is "partial 18S ribosomal RNA". It matches the Rfam family "Eukaryotic small subunit ribosomal RNA", at positions 592 to 976 of the family's 1831-position model. The record is from RNAcentral.